CAAGUCGCAUUUAAAACUCAACCAAUGCUACAAAAUGGCUGCCGUUUGAUCGAGCAAUCCAGGGAUAUUUUAUUACUUUAAUGUAUUUUAGCGGUUCAGUAUUGGUCAUCUAGUAGUGAUGUAAAGGAUGAAACUGAUGGUUACAAGCUAAUAACUCAAGAGAUUUGAAGUGACUUUAUAGCUGGAUUUCUUACGAUUAAAAGUAAGGUAAGAGAGAAGAAUCAAGAGAAAAGCUGA
Molecule: long non-coding RNA, 237 nt
Organism: Patella vulgata (common limpet)
Lineage: Eukaryota; Metazoa; Mollusca; Gastropoda; Patellidae
Exons: 3
Source: RefSeq, a predicted model, not a curated record